GCCCCGGUAGUCCAAUUGGCAGAGACGAUGGCCUCAAACUCCAUUCGGUGUCGGUUCGAGUCCGACCCGGGGCACUA
RNAcentral lists this transfer RNA (77 nucleotides) under Streptomyces koyangensis. Its description in RNAcentral is "tRNA-Leu". It matches the Rfam family "tRNA". From Rfam's summary of the family: Transfer RNA (tRNA) molecules are approximately 80 nucleotides in length. Their secondary structure includes four short double-helical elements and three loops (D, anti-codon, and T loops). RNAcentral also lists the same sequence under 3 other names. Lineage: Bacteria; Bacillati; Actinomycetota; Actinomycetes; Kitasatosporales; Streptomycetaceae. The record is from RNAcentral.